AUUAGCUAGUUGGUAAGGUAAUGGCUUACCAAGGCCUACGAUGUUAGGGGAUCUGAUAGGAUGGCACCCCCACACGUGGUACUGAGAACACGGACCAGACUCAUAACGGGGAGGCAGGCAGUAAGGAAUAUUGGUCAAUGGGCGCAAGCCUUGAACCAGUCCAUGCCGCGGUUGCAAAUCAAAGACGGCCCUACGGGUUGUAAACCUGCUUUAUACCGGAAUUAAACCUUGAUACGGUGUAUCGAGCUGAAUGUACGGAAGGAAUAAGGGAUCGGCUAACUCCGG
This 285-nucleotide ribosomal RNA is filed under the name uncultured bacterium. RNAcentral's name for it is "partial 16S ribosomal RNA". It matches the Rfam family "Bacterial small subunit ribosomal RNA", at positions 240 to 506 of the family's 1533-position model. The record is from RNAcentral.